This 3862-nucleotide long non-coding RNA is filed under the name Salmo salar (Atlantic salmon). RNAcentral describes it as "lncRNA (ENSSSAG00000085994.1)". The record is from RNAcentral. Lineage: Eukaryota; Metazoa; Chordata; Actinopteri; Salmoniformes; Salmonidae.
CAGUUUUGACUCACUCUGUGUGCAAUAAUAGUGUUUAACAUGAUUUUUUUAAACGACUACCCCAUCUCUGUACCCCACAUACAAUUCUCUGUAAGGUCACGCAGUUGAGCAGUGAAUUUUAAGCACAGAUUCAAGCACAAAGAUCAGGGAGGUUUUCGAUUGGUUCACAAAGAAGGGCACCUAUUGGUAGAUGGGGGGGAUAACUGAGGAUGAAUCAUAAACAUGUUAGUUACUCUACAAUACUAACAUAAAUUACAGAGUGAAAAGGAAGCAUCCUGUUUGCAAUAAGGCACAAAAGUAAUACUAUAAAAAAAAUGGGUCAAAGAAAUGUACUUUUUGUCCUGAAUACAAAGCGUUAUGUUUGGGGCUAAUCCAACACGUUACUGAAUACCACACUUCAUAAUUUCAAGCAUGGUGGUGGCUGCAUCAUGUUAUGGGUAUCCUUGUCAUCGGCAAGGGAGUUUUUGGGGGGGGAUAAAAAGAAACAGAAUAGACAAACUCACCUUACAAUAGGACAAUUACCUAAAACACAAGGCCAAAUAUACACUGGAGUUGUUUACCAAGACGGCAUUGAAUGUUCCUGAGUGGCCUAGUUAGAGUUUUGACUUAAAUUGACUUGAAAAUCUAUGGCAAGACUUGUAAAUGGCUGUCUAACAAUGACCAACAAUCAACUUGACAGAGCUUGAAGAAUGUUAAAAGAAAUAAAUGGCAAAUAUUGUACAAUCUAGGUGUGCAAGGCUCUAAGAGACUUACCCAGAAAGACUCACAGCGAUAACCGCUACCAAAUGUGAUUCUAACCUGUAAUGACUCAGGGGGGUUUAAUACCCAUCUAACCAAUAUAUACAUUAUUAGUGUUUUAUUUUCCAUAAAAACAUUUUUUUCUUCCACUGACAUUAGUAUUUUGUGUAGACAGUUGACAAAAAAAUACAAUUAAAUCCAUUUUAAUUCCACUUUGUAACACAACAAAAUGUGGAAAAAGUCAAGGGGUGUGAAAACUUUCUGAAGGCCCUGUAUGCAUUAAUUAAAGCAGCAAUUUUAAAAUCAAAUGAUACAUUUGACUUUGUUUUUACCAAUCUAACUACAUAACGACAUAAUGGUAAUAAUGUUUUUUUAAAGGUAAAUCUCUUGAUAAACUGGGUAAAUUAAGAUGGCAUAGGCCUAUUCACAAUACAGGUGAAUGCAGUUAUUGAGUUGUUUUAGCUGAUCAGCGGAGUCUAUGGUGCUACAGAUGACAAACAAUCUGUUUGCCUUCCAUUUGGGGACUUAUAUUAGCCUACUGAUCAACACUUUUUUUUGUUGCAUAGAAGCAUCACUCUUGCGUGUCACACUUGUAUGGAAGGACAUCAUAUAGGCUCUGUUGUUAGUUUGAGAAUAAAAAUAUAUAUAUUCGAUGCAAAUGGGUCCAACAUAACAUCAUGAUUUGUGAUAAUUUAUGAAACAAGUAUUUUUUGUCAUUUUCUGUGAUUGGGAGAUGUUUUUUUUUUUUUUUGCUGUCAGGACUCAUCUCUAAUCAAUUUGGUUGCCAGGACAAAUUCGAAACAACUCAAUUGGGCAAGGAAGUGUUCAGGAAAGAUCAUCGCAGACCCAUUCCACCCUGGUCACCACCUCCUCCAAAAAUUUGCCUCUGGCAGGGCGGUUCAGGUCACUCAUGAUCAAAACCUCCCGCCACCUGAAAAGUAUCUUCCCCCGGCUGUGGCCCUCACCAACCGGCCUAUAUAGACUAAAGGACUAUGCACUUUAUGCUGAACACUGCAUCAAGCCAUCUGUGAACUGCACACAAAAUAACUGCCCUACACUGCAUUGCACUCUGUCCAUCUCGCUGCAUUUAGAUAUACUGUAUUCUUACUGAUAUUGUAAAUGUGUACAUCCACUGUAUAUCAACCGUAUACCCACGGUACAUUUGUAUAUCUGCUCAUUCUCUUAUAGCUCUAUGCUCACUCUACCUAGUAUGUAAUGCAUGUCAACUUUGUUUAAACUCAGCUGUCUGUAUGUCUCUAAAUGUUGUUUAUCAGUAGCAGCACCAUAUCACCAAGAACAAUUCUGAGUAUGUAUAAAUGUAUUGUACUUGGCUAAUAAAGGCGAUUAUGAUGACUCAAAUCUUCCAAUAGUUUAAGUGGGAACGGACACACACACACACGGUGAUCUACAGCGUUCUUGGUCCAUAAACAUGCAGGAAGAUUCUUACUAUGCUAAAGCUAUUGCCAACCUUUAUUUAGGCAUUUUAAAACACUUCUUUCCCUAUUACGACAAUCAUUUAAUCCGACUAUCAAUGUACGGGUACGACUGCGGCUGGUCAGAUCAGCACACCAGUAAAUAGCUAAUGUUACAGCGCAAAUCAGAUGGCUCGUUGCUGAAAAUGGUGCAUGUUCAAAAUGAUAACCAGCUAAUGUUAGCUAGCUACGUUGGCUAAAUAGCUCCUAUCGAAUAUCAUAGCACCAUGUUUAUCUAGCAGGCUAGCUAGCAUAGUAGUUCAUGUAGCUAGCAAGCUAACACCACAUAUGAAUGGGUUAGUUAUCGUAAUAUUUGGUGACAGGUCACAUAGCUUGCUUAUUGCAUGCAUGUCCGGUGCACGUCGACUCAAGCCUUAUUUGCAACAUUAGUUCGAUUUUGGUCACUGUGUCAAUUAAUCCGUUUCUCAAUACUGCACCUUGCUGUUGGAGAAUGAGCUAUCUUGCUGCUGAUUUUCCCAACUAGACAUUCCUCGGCAUUGUCCAGUGUCCGUGGCUCAGGCGGUGAGUGUUGGCUGGCGUAGCAGCAGUUUUGCUAUGUACAGUAGUCGAUAGACUAGAAAAGAUUAUCGGUCGUUCAUAUAGAUAUUCCACUAUACUCAGUGAUUGUGUCUUUGCUGACACCACCAGGUGAAGAAAAUUACUCGAACAUAACUGUUGUAAUUACUUCAUUACAAAAAAAGGGAGAUUGUAGCUAGUAAAUUAAGGAUGGCAAAAACACUUAAAAAGAACAUUUGGUUUGAGAGCCUGUCAAAUAUAGGUUUGGUCUUCCUCAGGUCUACAAAGAGAUGCUUCAGAACCAAUCGUUUGUGGGCUGUAUCAACCCCCAGUGCUCUGCUCAACACCACCAAAUGUAGGUCAGAACCACAUACCUUAAUGUACACGGCACAUUCGUUGUACAGAGUUGCAUGUAGAAGUGCUUUAAUAAUGAUAUUUCUCUGCUAUAUAAAUGCAUGUUAGAAGUAUUAAUAUGAGGUUCCUCAAGGUUCUGAAUAUUUAGCUUUUUUUCUUUUUCAGCCAGGAGCUAUUCUUCCCCCAAAUAUUAUACGACUUCGGCAACUUGUGGUUUUCUGAAGGAAAUCUUGCUGGUUUGCCAUUGCUGCUUGACAACUACACCCCUCCUAUGGAGGGUCUGCCCAUGUUCAUCCUACAUUUGGCUACUGGGGUGUGAACUGUGAACUAUUCUUAUCCAUGACCAUGUCCUAUCAAUAUCUGAUCAAUAUGUAUCAAUAAGUUCUUCUAGACUAGAGUGACUAAUUGGAAGGUUUGUGUUAUGUUGCGUACUUGAACUGGGACAAUCACAAGGAUUGCUUCAGAGACUUCAGCAAGGAGUGCAUCCUGUUCUAUUCCAUCAGGAAACAGUAAGUCCUGGAGGUGGAGGUAGGAGAGGGUUGGUAUUUCACAUGCACCAUCUUGGGUUGUGUUCAUUCGGCACCAAACAGAAGAAAACGGACUGACAUGGAAGGACUACUGGACUUUGCCAAUAACAAACUAUCAUUUUUGUUUUCUUUUGCAUGCCUAAUAAAUACAACCCUGUUGAGUGAUUAGGAUGGGCCUUGCACUUGUCAAUCUAAGAUAAGUGGGCAGUUGAUGGCAUCUAGAUUACAUUUAGUAGGUACCAAGAAAGGAUUCAG